AGCGACUGUGCAGGUUACCGCGGCUGCUGGCACGGAGUUAGCCGGUGCUUCUUCUGUGAGUGAUGUCCUUCCUGCCGGCUAUUAACCCGCAGGCCUUCUUCCUCACUGAAGUGCUUUACAACCCGAAGGCCUUCUUCACACACGCGGCAUGGCUGGAUCAGGGUUGCCCCCAUUGUCCAAUAUUCCCACUGCUGCCUCCCGUAGGAGUCUGGGCCGUGUCUCAGUCCCAGUGUGGCUGAUCAUCCUCUCAGACCAGCUACGGAUCGUCGCCUUGGUGAGCCGUUACCUCACCAACCAGCUAAUCCGACAUAGGCUCAUCCGAUAGCGCGAGGCCCGAACGGUCCCCCGCUUUCCCCCGUAGGGCGUAUGCGGUAUUAGCCUGGGUUUCCCCGAGGUUAUCCCCCACUACCGGGCAGAUUCCUAUGCAUUACUCACCCGUCCGCCGCUCGCCACCAGGGAGCAAGCUCCCCGUGCUGCCGCUCGACUUGCAUGUGUUAGGCCUGCCGCCAGCGUUCAAU
Molecule: ribosomal RNA, 518 nt
Filed under: uncultured bacterium
Lineage: Bacteria
Description: partial 16S ribosomal RNA
Source: RNAcentral